UACCCGAAACUUACGGCACGUAGUCGUACUUUCCUUACGACCCGUAACAGUAUAAAAAGGGAAGGGAGCGAAACCUAGAACUCCAAACAACAGCAGACGGACAAUUUCUGCUUCCACGCUCAGCUACCUGUGAGAUCCCAGCCUUAGGAUGUUUCCACACAGGCAACUGGGGGUCGUUGUGGCAGCCGUCCUGUUCGGUCUUUCGUCGGCCUCUGAAGGAUUAGGUGGAAACGCCCUUCUGUUUCCCAGCGAGACCGACUACAGCUAUGUCAAACUAGUGCCCCAGAAACCCUUGCAGCUGCAAG
Molecule: non-coding RNA, 305 nt
Organism: Paramormyrops kingsleyae
Lineage: Eukaryota; Metazoa; Chordata; Actinopteri; Osteoglossiformes; Mormyridae
Source: RefSeq, a predicted model, not a curated record